CCUUCCUCAAAAAAAAAACAACAAAACACCCCAAAACCCCCCUAAAAAAACCCGGGAAAACACCGAGUUCCUCCCUUUCCCCACGGCCUGACCCGGGGCUGGUGUGUGUGUCCCCCCUGCUCCUUGGGGGGGAACCCCGACCCCCCCCCUCAGCCGGUUCCCACUGCGAUAAACUGUCCCCCCAAAAAAAAACCCACCAACCAACCCCCAACAAACCCUGCAGGAGGGAUCCAAACAUCCCAGACCUUUCCCGCUGCCCCCGGGGUGGGCGAGGAGGUUGGAGGGCUUGGAAAGAUGGAGGGAAAAAGUAUCAUCUGGCCUCAAAAAGCAGGAAGAAAUAUCCCCCCCCCCCCGUUUUCCUGCCUGGACACCCCAAAGGAGCCUGUUCCAACCCACACCCCUCGAGUUUCCACCCCCCCCCGGCUCGGGGAGGUGGGGGGGGGUGGUGAUUUUGGGGUGUAAAAGCAGGAUCUUGCCAGGCGGGCUCGAAAAUGGAGGAGCCUGGUUGUGCAACGCGGUCCCAUCCUCCCUCCCCGCUGCUGCUCCCGCCUCUGCCUGGGUUCAAACUGCAGAAAUCCCCCCCCAUUUCCAAGCUUGGGAACGGGGUGCAUCCCCAGGAAACAAAGUUCUGUCUUAUAGGCUUUAAAAAACGCUCAGAACGAGGAGGAAGAAGGUUUGGGGUGCCCUGAGCUCCCCCCACCCCGGGCGUGGGGCAGGUUGCAAAAUCCAGCUGGGAAGCAGGAGUUGGUGGGAAUGGCCUGGAGCUGCUGGGUGCUGUGGGUAAACAAGCUGUUCCCAGGCUGGGGGGAGCAGCCCCUCCCCUCCUGUGCCCAUCCCUGCCAUGCCCAGAGGACUUCUCUGCUUCGUUACGCCCUGGGUUAACGAGGAGCCUCAUUAUUUGGGCAGUAGGAGACACAACAGCCCUCAUCCGUGCCAGGGAGUGCUCAGGGGCUCUUUAAUCACUGGAUUAUUAAACGUAAGCUUGUCCUUUUGA
Molecule: long non-coding RNA, 994 nt
Organism: Apus apus (common swift)
Lineage: Eukaryota; Metazoa; Chordata; Aves; Apodiformes; Apodidae
Exons: 2
Source: RefSeq, a predicted model, not a curated record